UACGGAAGGCAGCAGUGGGGAAUAUUGCACAAUGGGCGAAAGCCUGAUGCAGCUAUGCCGCGUGUAUGAAGAAGGCCUUAGGGUUGUAAAGUACUUUCAUCGGGGAGGAAAAAACAAAACUAAUAAUUUUAUUUCUUGACGUUACCCGAAAAAGAAGCACCGGCUAACUCCGUGCCAGCAGCCGCGGUAAUACGGAGGGUGCUAGCGUUAAUCAGAAUUACUGGGCGUAAAGAGCACGUAGGUGGUUUUUUAAGUCAGAUGUGAAUCCCUGGGCUUAACUUAGGAACUGCAUUUGAAACUGAAAUACUAGAGUAUCGUAGAGGGAGGUAGAAUUCUAGGUGUAGCGGUGAAAUGCGUAGAUAUCUGGAGGAAUACCUGUGGCGAAAGCGGCCUCCUAAACGAAUACUGACACUGAGGUGCGAAAGCGUGGGGAGCGAAACAGGAUUAGAUACC
RNAcentral lists this ribosomal RNA (453 nucleotides) under uncultured bacterium. RNAcentral's name for it is "bacterial SSU rRNA". It matches the Rfam family "Bacterial small subunit ribosomal RNA", at positions 340 to 786 of the family's 1533-position model. The record is from RNAcentral.